RNAcentral lists this long non-coding RNA (913 nucleotides) under Malus domestica (apple). Its description in RNAcentral is "long non-coding RNA (MDOM_LNC020766)". The record is from RNAcentral. Lineage: Eukaryota; Viridiplantae; Streptophyta; Magnoliopsida; Rosales; Rosaceae.
UGAGUGACUCAUGCAGUUUAUACCUUAUUAACUAUAUUCUCACUUGCACAUCUUCAUUCGUCAAAGUUUAACCUAUCAGGUUAAAAAAAAAAAAAAGAAAAAAAUAAAGAAGAAUCAAAAGAGGCUGCCAGAGAAAGAAAAUAAAAUAUGGGAAGGUGGAACGGAGAGACAUGGUAGCGUGAGACACGGGGGUGAUAGAAGAAGGGGAAUAAGAAUAAAAUAGGGAAAAGGAUUGGGAGCUGCUGGGGCAGCUAAGAAAAAGGAAAUUAAAAAAUAAAAAAAAAAACAGUGAAAAGAAUCCAAGGCAGCGUGUGAGAGAGUGAAAGAAAUAGAGGGGAAAGCAAGAAGCACGCGGGGACAGAUUGGAAAAGCUGCCUUUGGCAGCUGGCGUGGAUGACAGGAAAUGGAAAAAUAAAAAGAGGGAAAGGGAGACAUGUUAAGGGGAAUUGGUGGAAGGGAGCUGCCCUUUGGGCAGCUCGCAGAGAGACAGGAUAGAAAAGAAUCAGGAGGAGAGCGGCCUUUGGCAGCUAGGGAAAAAACGCUGCCCUUUGGCAGCGAGCUCAGAGAGAAGAAGCCAAGUCCACGGAACGCAGGGGGGUGACGUGAGGGGCAGAGCACAAAGCAGAGGCUUCACUCCAUUCUUCUUGGUUUUAUCUCACUAAACUUUUAUUUUAUUUCUGUUUUAAUAAUGUGUGUAAUUAAUUUUAUUUUGGCUAGAGGUUAAUUCAAAGCCAUGAUUUAUAUUUGUAAUAUGAAUUGAUUACCUUCGGUUGUGAUUUCAUAAGUUGUGAUUUCAAUUUACUUAUCCGUUCGUAUAAAAACUGAUUUGUGUAUGUUGGUUGAGAGUGCACGCUUAAUUUACAUGCAUGAAUUUGAUGCUAGAAUAUAAGUGAAUUUCACCUAAUCGUUAUGA